Brassica napus (rape) is the source of this 1319-nucleotide long non-coding RNA. RefSeq lists it as uncharacterized. The transcript has 3 exons. The record is from RefSeq and is a predicted model, not a curated record. Lineage: Eukaryota; Viridiplantae; Streptophyta; Magnoliopsida; Brassicales; Brassicaceae.
CUUUUAUUAAUACUCUGCGUUUCAUAAUAUUUCACAAACUAAACACAUAUGGGCUUCGUAAUGUUGUUGUUUCCUGGGCUUCCUUCUUCUUAUUGAACUUUAAUAGGUCUCACAUUACUAAUGUCUACCGUUUUUCUCUUCUCUUCGUAUUGAUAAUUACGCGUAGCCGAUGAAUUGCUUAGGAACUCCAUAGCUUAGACCGUUCAUCUCUAAUACAUGAAACCAUUGUUUCCGGCGAUGGCCUAUUCAGACCUGGCGGAGGUGUCUUUCUAUUGAUUGCCAACUCACCGGCCAAUAAAUUCUGGGAACGUUACUAGAAUUCAAUCGUCGUCUUUUACGAUCUGUAAUUCAAUGUGUCCCCAUUAUUACUAUUGUGUGAAUCAUCCACUAUAAAUAGGUUAUCUCAUUCCAUCGAAACUCAUAUCAUUUAUUCCUCACCGAUUCUUUCUGGUUGCUCCGCUUAUUUAUUUUUAGAUUGUAUCCGAGAGGCAAGGGAGUGUCUGAGAGCGAGAGAGAUAGAGAGAGGAGAGAAUGAACGGUGGUGACGAGGUUGAAACUUUGUCGCCUUUGUAUUGGAGACUCUCUCUCAGGUAUUUGGUGAUGCUGUACAAGGACUGCGGCGGAGAAAGAUGUAACCAAGAACAUCGAUGGGUUAAUCCAAAAUAUUGGUUGUGAGCUCUCUCUUUCUUACCCAUUACUGUUCAUCGGGUUAAUGGUGGACGACUCAGGCAUGUCAGAUGAUCUAUUGAAAAUGCAUAUGUAUCACCAAUUUUGGAAAAUGUCAGGACACGUGAAAAUCUAUUGGAAGUUUCCAACAUGAUCAUUGUUGCCAAGCCAGAUGUAUUGAGGAUGAAGCUCUUGAAACUUUUCUACGAAGAUACAUAGUAUAACGUACGUGACACACUGACAUUAGACACAUGUUCUUCGUUUCUGAGAGAAUCCGGUUUCUAACACAGAUUCAAAAACAUCACUACCGUCAGAAACGGAACCACUCAGUGACAACGACAUCUGAUCUAAGAUAGAGUUUCCGAAUGCAGGGAGACAAAGUAGAGCGGCGGUUGUUGCAGGUGCCUUCAAAGGUGAUGAAGCAGACACUGCAGAAGAAGAGAACUAUGAUUUCUUAUAUGCUUCCUAAAGUGACCACGUCCAUUUUGUAAUAAAAGUUUUGCUUUCCUUAUUUUGUUCUUUCGAGCCUAUGAGAUUCAGUGAGUAUAGAGACUUUGUUGACUCUAAGUGAAACUUCUGGACUGUUUGGAAGGUCUCAACUUCUGAAGACUCAUUUAUCACUCGCAUCAUUACGGAAGUAAUUCUCUUCUAUU